GAUAGGGUCAGCUAAACAAGCUUUCGGGCCCAUACCCCGAAAAUGAUGGUUAAACCCCACCCCCUAUCA
Molecule: transfer RNA, 69 nt
Filed under: Rasbora vaillantii
Lineage: Eukaryota; Metazoa; Chordata; Actinopteri; Cypriniformes; Danionidae
Description: tRNA-Met
Source: RNAcentral